Molecule: long non-coding RNA, 2362 nt
Filed under: Daphnia pulicaria
Lineage: Eukaryota; Metazoa; Arthropoda; Branchiopoda; Diplostraca; Daphniidae
Description: uncharacterized LOC124314938, transcript variant X2
Source: RNAcentral
UUGAAUUUUUAAAAGUGGAUUAAGGUCGCUUGUGUUUCACUAUUGGGAAAUUCAAAUUCUUUGUAUUCCAUUCCAAUUAUAAAUCCAUCCAUUUAUUCGCGCCAGUGGAUCUACCACGCCAUCUCUUGGCUUUUUCACUUUUAAUUUCUAAAAUAAACAAACAGUGACCAAAAACGCCAAAUGUAGUGAGAGUCAUUUCGAAUUUUGAAUCCCUUUGAAUUAAAGACUGAAAAGGUUGGACCAUCACUGACUGACAUUAGCUUGCACUUGACUCAGCAAAUGUCAAAUUAUGGAUAAUGGAUUUCCAACAUUUACACAUGUGGUGUGUGACUGGAAUCGUUUAACGACCGACACCAGCGCGAAUGCUGAUUCAUUGUAAAACUCAUCUUUGUAGAAAAAAAUGUUAAAGCAGUAAGAAGUUGACGAUCGAGCAUGAGGUGCAUACAUUAAUUGCUUUUUUGUUCAUUUGAAAAGGCGAAUAAUUCGUUAAAUUUAGGCAACAGUAAUUGGCCAAUUAAAUCUAGAACUCGACGAACACGUCGCUAGAGAGAAAUUGUCCAGCCACAGCGGUUCCACAAUUGACAUACCAAUGUCAAAAUAUCCUUUGGGUGCUGUCAAUUUAAUUUAGUCAACAGUUUUAUAAAUAUGAGCUAACUAACGUGUGAUUGUGAAUUCACAUGUUGUAGAAUAACCGGAUAUGGUGGCGCUAGUAUUGCUACUUAAUGCUCAUUUACCUUUGCCCCUUUGGAUUAAUAAUUCGUUAAUUUUUCCGCAACUAUCUAGUCAUUUGCUAAAUAGAUUUUGAUGUAGUUUUGAAAUAAAAACUUUUAAUAAAAUUUAUAUGGAUUUCCCCUGUUGGUCGUUCUUCCACUAUGAUAACCAGAAAGAAGGGGAAGACCACUCAGCACUACUACCAGCUUAGUCAUGGAUCAAGCAGCAACACUGCCAAGGCCCAAAGCAUCUCUGUCAUCUUUUGGUUACCAGGUUCCUCCUACUUUGAUAUCUUAAGUACUACAGUUUCAGUUACUUUUACUUUACACAAUUCCAAAGACAUUUAUUGGCAGUGAAAGUAAGCUAAUUUUGUCUGCUAAUUGACCGUAUAUUUUCUAGCAACAAUGCUCACUUGUUACAUUUUUUAUAAUUUGCUUUUUUAUUGGCUACUUCCGGUUUCUAAACGAGUUAGUAGUUUAGUAAAUCUUCAUUUGACGCAGAAUAGAACCAAAUAUUCGGGAUCCUUGCCAAAUUUGGGGUUUAAAUCAUGUUUUAUUUUGCGUUUUUGCGUACUUCCGGUUUACCCCAAAAUCGUCCAAAAUUGCAAAUUUUGCUCAGGAAAAUUCUCGAUUUUGACAAAAUUCUGGAUUUCGUUUAAAUUACAUCUUAUCGACCCCAAAUCUCACGGAGAUCACGAAUAUUUGGUUUUUGGUCGGCAGCUCAAUGGUUAAGGCGCUAUCGCUUACUUCCGGUAUACUUCCGAAAAAUUUGUAUUAAACUAGCAAGUGAGCUUUGUUCUCUGUAAAGUUCUAAGGAUUGAAUGCUAGGUAUUAGCAACAAAUAUGAACUUUUCAACUUUUGUGAGUAUCUUUAUCUUAAUAAGACCACCUGCAAAUACUGAGUUUUGAGACGUGUCAAAUAGAUGGCGAGUUGAUUGUGUCAAUGGAAUGGCGGUUUGCUGUCAAAAGUUAAGCUAUCCUUUCUUCGAAAAUUACCAACGAAUUCAUUAAUAAAUUCCAGUGAUUUUGUCUCUAACUUGUCGGUGAUGUGUUCUAUUCUGUGUAUACGUUGGAUAAAAUUAAUGUUUCUCAUCAACUUAUAGGAGGAAACAUAAAAGAUUCGUGGCGUCGUGCAGCCUACCGGCUACCGUCUACCGUCAACUAUUUUGUUCAAAAUCAUUGUAUUCUACUGAAUGUGCCAUCGAAAUGAUACAGGAGUCAUAAUUAUCUGCUGUUUGUAUUGGACUUGGUAGAUCACCAACGGCCCAGCAUAGACCAAUCUCACAUUUCAUCUUCUCGAGAGAAGAUUGGAUAACUGAUCGGUGGUUUCAUGUGUUCUAAACUCCAGGUUUCUAAAUUUGCAUGGCAGACUUUAUGAGAAGUCAUGUCCUUUCAAGAAAGUCAGCAAGGUCCCUUGUUUACUAACCUGUUGGCUGCUACCCUUGAGUCUUCCUUUUUACUUUCUUAAGCGGGCCAUCUUUAUUUGAGGGUAAUCCUUCGCUACUUGUCAUGGCCUUCAUCCACAGGUGAAAAACCGACGAGACAAUGCUGCAAUUCAAGACUGAUAAAUUGUUUAAUCGUUAGAUUCAAUUACAAGUGCAUAUCUGGGCUCCCUUCUUUUCUGUGGCCCCGUUUCCCUAACUAACCACUAA